CAGGUCUUUUUAAUCGCGGGUCCUUCUGUGGUUCACCGAAAAGCAACUUUGUGCAUUUCCUACAGAAAAAAAGUGUGUUUGGAGGAGCAGGUCGCAGGGGGGUCACGCCUGCUGCUGAACAAAAGGGCUCAUUCGCAUCCUGCAAGCGUCCUGCACGGGGCCGUCCUCUGGCCGUCCAAGAUCCUUAGGGAGAUCCUUAUCGGGUGGCCGCUGCAUUCUUAUUGGCACUGGCGGCACUGCAGGAUCAUCACGUAUGUGUGCGCCGUGGUGAAAAAGAGUGUAAAACUCUGCGCUGACCACCAUGGCCAUGGCCCGACGCUGUCCACACGUUUCUUCCAUGCUGUCUCAGCAGAAAGCGUUUUUUGGAUGCACUCCGCAAGAAACAUCUUCUGAGGGAAAGUGCACCAGAGCCGAGGGGAGCAGCCGACGCGGCGGCGGCGGCGCGUCCGCCAAAAAAUGAUGAGCAGCCUCGAUCGUCUGGCUGCUGUGCGCUGCCGCGCGGUGGGUGGUGCGUUUGGGGCGGGAGCCCCGGACGGGGUCAGACUGCUGUCGGCCCAAGUUUUGGCGCAGGGUGGCAGCGGAUGCUUCGGAGAAAGUCUUGGAGUCCGUGAUGUGCAACCUCGACAUUUUCGACGAGGGAAAAAUCAGCUAAGAGAGGCUGAAUGGUGAUUAGCGCCGUCCUCUGUUUGGGGCACACUGUCCCGCCAUGCAGACGUGCGAGCUGGUUGCCUACUCGCUUCGGUCCCUAAGGCGCCUUGCGUG
This is a long non-coding RNA of Frankliniella occidentalis (western flower thrips), 762 nucleotides long. RefSeq lists it as uncharacterized. The record is from RefSeq and is a predicted model, not a curated record. The transcript has 5 exons. NCBI's taxonomy places the organism in Eukaryota, Metazoa, Arthropoda, Insecta, Thysanoptera, Thripidae.